Asparagus officinalis (garden asparagus) is the source of this 147-nucleotide long non-coding RNA. RefSeq lists it as uncharacterized. The record is from RefSeq and is a predicted model, not a curated record. The transcript is spliced from 3 exons. NCBI's taxonomy places the organism in Eukaryota, Viridiplantae, Streptophyta, Magnoliopsida, Asparagales, Asparagaceae.
GUUGGAACUGAUCAUUGCACAUUCAACUCUUGGUUUUGAUGACUUCAGAAAGAUUCCAAAUGGUGUAAAUGGUAUAGAGGAAAGAAUGCACUUAAUUUGGGAUGCUAUGGUGGAAUCUGGCCAAAUAUCUGUUACUGACUACGUGAG